AGUGUACGCUGGCGGUAGGCCUAACACAUGCAAGUCGAACGGCAGCACAGUAAGAGCUUGCUCUUACGGGUGGCGAGUGGCGGACGGGUGAGGAAUACAUCGGAAUCUACUUUUUCGUGGGGGAUAACGUAGGGAAACUUACGCUAAUACCGCAUACGACCUACGGGUGAAAGCAGGGGAUCUUCGGACCUUGCGCGAUUGAAUGAGCCGAUGUCGGAUUAGCUAGUUGGCGGGGUAAAGGCCCACCAAGGCGACGAUCCGUAGCUGGUCUGAGAGGAUGAGCAGCCACACUGGAACUGGGACACGGUCCAGACUCCUACGGGAGGCAGCAGUGGGGAAUAUUGGACAAUGGGCGCAAGCCUGAUCCAGCCAUACCGCGUGGGUGAAGAAGGCCUUCGGGUUGUAAAGCCCUUUUGUUGGGAAAGAAAAGCAGCAGGUUAAUACCCCGCUGUUCUGACGGUACCCAAAGAAUAAGCACCGGCUAACUUCGUG
RNAcentral lists this ribosomal RNA (492 nucleotides) under uncultured bacterium. Its description in RNAcentral is "partial 16S ribosomal RNA". It matches the Rfam family "Bacterial small subunit ribosomal RNA", at positions 29 to 507 of the family's 1533-position model. The record is from RNAcentral.